UACGUAGGGACCGAGCGUUGUCCGGAAUCAUUGGGCGUAAAGAGCGUGUAGGCGGCUUGUUAAGUCUUGCGUGAAAUCUCGGGGCUCAACCCCGAGCGGUCGUGAGAAACUGGCAGGCUAGAGUGCGGGAGAGGAGAGUGGAAUUCCCAGUGUAGAGGUGAAAUUCGUAGAUAUCAGGAAGAACACCCGUGGCGAAAGCGGCUCUCUGGAGCGGUACUGACGCUGAGACGCGAAAUCGUGGGGAGCGAACAGG
This 253-nucleotide ribosomal RNA is filed under the name uncultured bacterium. RNAcentral's name for it is "partial 16S ribosomal RNA". It matches the Rfam family "Bacterial small subunit ribosomal RNA", at positions 524 to 776 of the family's 1533-position model. The record is from RNAcentral.